ACUCAAAUGAAUAGACGGGGGCCCGCACAAGCGGCGGAGCAUGCGGAUUAAUUCGAUGCAACGCGAAGAACCUUACCUGGGUUUGACAUAUGCGGAAAACCUGCAGAGAUGUAGGGUCCUUACGGGCCGCAUACAGGUGGUGCAUGGCUGUCGUCAGCUCGUGUCGUGAGAUGUUGGGUUAAGUCCCGCAACGAGCGCAACCCUCGUCCUAUGUUGCCAGCACAUAAUGGUGGGGACUCAUAGGAGACUGCCGGGGUCAACUCGGAGGAAGGUGGGGAUGACGUCAAGUCAUCAUGCCCCUUAUGUCCAGGGCUUCACGCAUGCUACAAUGGCCAGUACAGUGGGCUGCGAAACCGCAAGGUAGAGCGAAUCCCAAAAAGCUGGUCUCAGUUCGGAUUGGGGUCUGCAACUCGACCCCAUGAAGUCGGAGUCGCUAGUAAUCGCAGAUCAGCAACGCUGCGGUGAAUACGUUCCCGGGCCUUGUACACACCGCCCGU
Molecule: ribosomal RNA, 497 nt
Filed under: uncultured bacterium
Lineage: Bacteria
Description: partial 16S ribosomal RNA
Rfam family: Bacterial small subunit ribosomal RNA
Source: RNAcentral